RNAcentral lists this ribosomal RNA (466 nucleotides) under uncultured bacterium. RNAcentral describes it as "partial 16S ribosomal RNA". It matches the Rfam family "Bacterial small subunit ribosomal RNA", at positions 28 to 507 of the family's 1533-position model. The record is from RNAcentral.
GACGAACGCUGGCGGCGUGCUUAACACAUGCAAGUCGAACGGAAAGGCCCUGCUUGCAGGGUACUCGAGUGGCGAACGGGUGAGUAACACGUGGGUGAUCUGCCCUGCACUUCGGGAUAAGCUUGGGAAACUGGGUCUAAUACCGGAUAGGAACCAUCUUUAGUGUGGUGGUUGGAAAGUUUUUUCGGUGUAGGAUGAGCUCGCGGCCUAUCAGCUUGUUGGUGGGGUAAUGGCCUACCAAGGCGGCGACGGGUAGCCGGCCUGAGAGGGUGUACGGCCACAUUGGGACUGAGAUACGGCCCAGACUCCUACGGGAGGCAGCAGUGGGGAAAAUUGCACAAUGGGCGCAAGCCUGAUGCAGCGACGCCGCGUGGGGGAUGAAGGCCUUCGGGUUGUAAACUCCUUUCGCUAGGGACGAAGCUUUGUUGUGACGGUACCUAGAUAAGAAGCACCGGCUAACUACGUG